This 484-nucleotide ribosomal RNA is filed under the name uncultured bacterium. RNAcentral describes it as "partial 16S ribosomal RNA". It matches the Rfam family "Bacterial small subunit ribosomal RNA", at positions 30 to 507 of the family's 1533-position model. The record is from RNAcentral.
AUUGAACGCUGGCGGCAGGCCUAACACAUGCGAGUCGAGCGGCUGCACGGAGCUUGCCCCUGGAUUCAGCGGCGGACGGGUGAGUAAUGCCUCGGAAUCUGCCUGGUAGUGGGGGAUAACGUCCGGAAACGGGCGCUAAUACCGCAUACGUCCUGAGGGUGAAAGCGGGGGAUCUUCGGACCUCACGCUAUCAGAUGAGCCUAGGUCGGAUUAGCUAGUUGGUGGGGUAAAGGCCUACCAAGGCGACGAUCCGUAACUGGUCUGAGAGGAUGAUCAGUCACACUGGAACUGAGACACGGUCCAGACUCCUACGGGAGGCAGCAGUGGGGAAUAUUGGACAAUGGGCGAAAGCCUGAUCCAGCCAUGCCGCGUGUGUGAAGAAGGUCUUCGGAUUGUAAAGCACUUUAGGUUGGGAGGAAGAGCAGUGAGUUAAUACCUUGCUGUGUUGACGUUACCAGCAGAAUAAGCACCGGCUAACUACGUG